This 565-nucleotide ribosomal RNA is filed under the name uncultured Staphylococcus sp. Its description in RNAcentral is "bacterial SSU rRNA". It matches the Rfam family "Bacterial small subunit ribosomal RNA", at positions 367 to 919 of the family's 1533-position model. The record is from RNAcentral. Lineage: Bacteria; Bacillati; Bacillota; Bacilli; Caryophanales; Staphylococcaceae.
CAUCAUCGGGCGCAGCCUGAUGCAGCACGCCGCGUGAGUGAUGAAGGUUUUCGGAUCGUAAAACUCUGUUAUUGGGGAAGAACAAAUGCGUAAGUAACUGUGCGCAUCUUGACGGUACCUAAUCAGAAAGCCACGGCUAACUACGUGCCAGCAGCCGCGGUAAUACGUAGGUGGCAAGCGUUAUCCGGAAUUACUGGGCGUAAAGCGCGCGUAGGCGGUUUCUUAAGUCUGAUGUGAAAGCCCACGGCUCAACCGGGGAGGGUCAUUGGAAACUGGGAAACUUGAGUGCAGAAGAGGAAAGUGGAAUUCCAUGUGUAGCGGUGAAAUGCGCAGAGAUAUGGAGGAACACCAGUGGCGAAGGCGACUCUCUGGUCUGUAACUGACGCUGAUGUGCGAAAGCGUGGGGAUCAAACAGGAUUAGAUACCCUGGUAGUCCACGCCGUAAACGAUGAGUGCUAAGUGUUAGGGGGUUUCCGCCCCUUAUUGCUGAGGUUAACGCAUUAAGCACUCCGCCCUGGGGGAGUACGACCCCAAGGUUUGAAACCUCAAAUGAUUUUGACGGGGG